UAAGCGGAGGAAAAGAAACUAACAAGGAUUCCCCUAGUAACUGCGAGUGAAGCGGGAAAAGCUCAAAUUUAAAAUCUGGUGGUCUUUGGCCAACCGAGUUGUAAUCUAGAGAAGCGUCUUCCGCGCUGGACCGUGCACAAGUCUCCUGGAACGGAGCGUCGUAGAGGGUGAGAAUCCCGUCUUUGGCAUGGACACACCAGGGCUUUUGUGAUGCGCUCUCGAAGAGUCGAGUUGUUUGGGAAUGCAGCUCAAAAUGGGUGGUGAACUCCAUCUAAAGCUAAAUAUUGGCGAGAGACCGAUAGCGAACAAGUACCGUGAGGGAAAGAUGAAAAGCACUUUGGAAAGAGAGUGAAACAGUACGUGAAAUUGUUGAAAGGGAAACGCUUGAAGUCAGUCACGUCGACCGAGACUCAGCCUCGCCUCGGCUUGGUGUACUUCUCGGCUGACGGGUCAGCAUCAAUUUUGCCCCUUGGAUAAUGGCGAGGGAAAUGUGACACCUUUAUGGUGUGUUAUAGUCUCUCGUCGCAUGCAAGGGUUGGGAUUGAGGAACUCAGCACGCGCCCUUUGGGUGUCGGGGCUUUGCCCACGAUACGUGCUUAGGAUGUUGGCAUAAUGGCUUUAAACGACC
This 628-nucleotide ribosomal RNA is filed under the name uncultured Russulaceae. RNAcentral describes it as "LSU rRNA". It matches the Rfam family "Eukaryotic large subunit ribosomal RNA", at positions 47 to 649 of the family's 3401-position model. Lineage: Eukaryota; Fungi; Basidiomycota; Agaricomycetes; Russulales; Russulaceae. The record is from RNAcentral.